RNAcentral lists this long non-coding RNA (1033 nucleotides) under Anas platyrhynchos platyrhynchos (common mallard). RNAcentral describes it as "lncRNA (ENSAPLG00000017868.1)". Lineage: Eukaryota; Metazoa; Chordata; Aves; Anseriformes; Anatidae. The record is from RNAcentral.
GAAAUAUACAAUUUCAGAAAUUCUGAGAUUCAGCUACUAAUCAAAACUUUCCCAAUUGCCAAGACAAUUUGAAGUCUACUUUUCAGGGAAAAUACAUACAUGCAUAAAUUUUAGUCUGGAGUCAGAAGUUUGGUCCACAUCCUGCAAUCAACAUAGCUUUCCACAGUCUAUGUGAAAAUUAGUUUGCUGUUAAAUGGACUAAUUUUUUUAGUGCUUUCAGUCUUUUUCCAAAUAUAUAUACAUGUACAGCUGAGACCAGGGCAAGGAUAACGUGGCUUGGUUGUUAUGUGUGUUCUACCACAAUAUCAAUCUUAAUUAGCAUUUGACUGUCACAGGUGACAGCCUAGUUUAUUAAGGUAAGUCAUUUUACCUGCACAAGCCACUCUGUAAAGUAUGACAGGUUAGUUGCUGCCUCAUUUGCAGUUGCAAAGUCCCAGCUGAGACAUUCAUUCACUGAGAGAAUGGUGGGUGAAUAAGUAGGAUUAAGAGCCACUAGAGUCAUCCCAGGGGAAGCAGCUGUCACUCUGGAACAGAACCCUUGGCUUGUUUGAAGUAUAUACAUACAUUUAUAUAUACAUUUACUUUAGGCUGCUGUAGUAAUUUAUCUUAGCUACAAUUCAGAGACCUAAGAUGCUCAAGGGUUCAUUAACCUCAGUGGGAUAACAGACCCAUUAACAGGCUCAUCUAUGGAUUAAUCAUUCAAGGCUUAUGGAGACCUACGUUCAUCCACUGUAGAGAACAUAGUGGUGAAGAGUCAAUCUGAACAACCAGUGCAGAAUGUUGACCUGAGAGAUUUAAGGCUGUUCUUUCAUCUGAGCUGCCAGGCUGAAGCAACAGCUGAGAAGAGAAGUCUCCUAGGAGGAAAAACACUACCAAAUAGCUUGGCUAAUUCUGCCACUUCAAAAGCUUUAAAAACUUCCUUACCUGAGGGAGCACUGGAUUUUAUAAGUAAUCUAGUUUUAGGAAGUGUGGCUCUGUGAGAAAGGGCCUCAUUAUGCCAUGUGCUGAGUAGGAGGCAAAGCUCCUGUCUAGC